GUAGGGGGCAAGCGUUAUCCGGAUUUACUAGGUGUAAAGGGAGCGUAGACGGCUGUGCAAGUCUGAAGUGAAAGGCAUGGGCUCAACCUGUGGACUGCUUUGGAAACUGUGCAGCUAGGGUGUCGGAGAGGUAAGUGGAAUUCCUAGUGUAGCGGUGAAAUGCGUAGAUAUUAGGAGGAACACCAGUGGCGAAGGCGGCUUACUGUACGAUGACUGACGUUGAGGCUCGAAAGCGUGGGGAGCAAACAGGAUUAGAUACCCUGGUAGUCCACGCCGUAAACGAUGACUGCUAGGUGUCGGGAGGCAAAGCCUUUCGGUGCCGCAGCAAACGCAAUAAGCAGUCCACCUGGGGAGUACGUUCGCAAGAAUGAAACUCAA
This 378-nucleotide ribosomal RNA is filed under the name uncultured bacterium. RNAcentral describes it as "bacterial SSU rRNA". It matches the Rfam family "Bacterial small subunit ribosomal RNA", at positions 527 to 904 of the family's 1533-position model. The record is from RNAcentral.